Molecule: ribosomal RNA, 498 nt
Filed under: uncultured bacterium
Lineage: Bacteria
Description: partial 16S ribosomal RNA
Rfam family: Bacterial small subunit ribosomal RNA
Source: RNAcentral
ACUCAAAUGAAUUGACGGGGGCCCGCACAAGCGGUGGAGCAUGUGGUUCAAUUCGACGCAACGCGAAGAACCUUACCUGGGCUCGAAGCGCAGUGGAUCGGGGUGGAAACAUCCUUUCCCGCAAGGGCUGCUGCGUAGGUGCUGCAUGGCUGUCGUCAGCUCGUGUCGUGAGAUGUUGGGUUAAGUCCCGCAACGAGCGCAACCCUUAUUGCCAGUUGCCCACGGGUUAAGCCGGGCACUCUGGCGAAACUGCCCCGGAUAACGGGGAGGAAGGUGGGGAUGACGUCAAGUCCUCAUGGCCUUUAUGUCCAGGGCUACACACGUGCUACAAUGGCCGAUACAAACCGUCGCAAACUCGCGAGAGUGAGCUAAUCGGAUAAAGUCGGCCUCAGUUCGGAUUGGAGUCUGCAACUCGACUCCAUGAAGCUGGAAUCGCUAGUAAUCGCGGAUCAGAACGCUGCGGUGAAUACGUUCCCGGGCCUUGCACACACCGCCCGU